ACAUACGACCACAGGAUCCUGAGAACUAGGCUUCCCGUCCGCUCAGCCAUAUAUAAGCAGGAUACCGGCGGAUUAGUAUUGCGAUCCGUGAGGGCGCGAGAAUCCCCGCUGUUGUAUGUU
Molecule: ribosomal RNA, 120 nt
Organism: Paraphaeosphaeria sporulosa
Lineage: Eukaryota; Fungi; Ascomycota; Dothideomycetes; Pleosporales; Didymosphaeriaceae
Source: Rfam